GACGGUAACAGGAAACAGCUUGCUGCUUCGCUGACGAGUGGCGGACGGGUGAGUAAUGUCUGGGAAACUGCCUGAUGGAGGGGGAUAACUACUGGAAACGGUAGCUAAUACCGCAUAACGUCGCAAGACCAAAGAGGGGGACCUUCGGGCCUCUUGCCAUCGGAUGUGCCCAGAUGGGAUUAGCUAGUAGGUGGGGUAACGGCUCACCUAGGCGACGAUCCCUAGCUGGUCUGAGAGGAUGACCAGCCACACUGGAACUGAGACACGGUCCAGACUCCUACGGGAGGCAGCAGUGGGGAAUAUUGCACAAUGGGCGCAAGCCUGAUGCAGCCAUGCCGCGUGUAUGAAGAAGGCCUUCGGGUUGUAAAGUACUUUCAGCGGGGAGGAAGGGAGUAAAGUUAAUACCUUUGCUCAUUGACGUUACCCGCAGAAGAAGCACCGGCUAACUCCGUGCCAGCAGCCGCGGUAAUACGGAGGGUGCAAGCGUUAAUCGGAAUUACUGGGCGUAAAGCGCACGCAGGCGGUUUGUUAAGUCAGAUGUGAAAUCCCCGGGCUCAACCUGGGAACUGCAUCUGAUACUGGCAAGCUUGAGUCUCGUAGAGGGGGGUAGAAUUCCAGGUGUAGCGGUGAAAUGCGUAGAGAUCUGGAGGAAUACCGGUGGCGAAGGCGGCCCCCUGGACGAAGACUGACGCUC
RNAcentral lists this ribosomal RNA (694 nucleotides) under Klebsiella planticola. Its description in RNAcentral is "bacterial SSU rRNA". It matches the Rfam family "Bacterial small subunit ribosomal RNA", at positions 65 to 748 of the family's 1533-position model. The record is from RNAcentral. Lineage: Bacteria; Pseudomonadati; Pseudomonadota; Gammaproteobacteria; Enterobacterales; Enterobacteriaceae.